This is a non-coding RNA of Myotis lucifugus (little brown bat), 73 nucleotides long. The record is from Rfam. NCBI's taxonomy places the organism in Eukaryota, Metazoa, Chordata, Mammalia, Chiroptera, Vespertilionidae.
GCCUGUGUGGCUCAGUGGACAGAGCCUUGGCCCGAGGACUGCAGGGUCCCGGGUUCGAUUCCAGGCAAGGGCA